RNAcentral lists this ribosomal RNA (331 nucleotides) under Dermacentor sp. PG254. RNAcentral describes it as "partial 16S ribosomal RNA". Lineage: Eukaryota; Metazoa; Arthropoda; Arachnida; Ixodida; Ixodidae. The record is from RNAcentral. RNAcentral also lists the same sequence under 1 other name.
UUGAAUGCUAAGAGAAUGGAACUACAAAGAACAGCUAUUUUAAACUUAAAAAUUAAAGUUAUUUUAAUUUGUGAAGAAACAAUUAUUAAAAUUAAGGACAAGAAGACCCUAAGAAUUUUAUAAUUAGUAAGUUUUUAUAAUAAAAAGUUACUAAUUUUUAGUUGGGGCAACUAAAAAAUAUUAUGAACUUUUUAAUAACUAAAAUGAACCACUAUUAUUGAUAACUUGAAAAAAAUACUCUAGGGAUAACAGCGUAAUAAUUUUUGAUAGAACAUAUAGACAAAAUAGUUUGCGACCUCGAUGUUGGAUUAGGAUUCUUUUUUAAUGAAGA